UGCAUCUGCCGGGAAUCGAACCCGGGCCGCCCGCUUGGCAGGCGAGCAUUCUACCACUGAACCACC
Molecule: transfer RNA, 66 nt
Filed under: Cordylochernes scorpioides
Lineage: Eukaryota; Metazoa; Arthropoda; Arachnida; Pseudoscorpiones; Chernetidae
Description: tRNA-Gly
Source: RNAcentral